This 573-nucleotide ribosomal RNA is filed under the name uncultured bacterium. Its description in RNAcentral is "partial 16S ribosomal RNA". It matches the Rfam family "Bacterial small subunit ribosomal RNA", at positions 355 to 919 of the family's 1533-position model. The record is from RNAcentral.
UGGGGAAUAUUGCACAAUGGGCGCAAGCCUGAUGCAGCCAUGCCGCGUGUGUGAAGAAGGCCUUCGGGUUGUAAAGCACUUUCAGCGAGGAGGAAGGUGGUGAGCUUAAUACGCUCAUCAAUUGACGUUACUCGCAGAAGAAGCACCGGCUAACUCCGUGCCAGCAGCCGCGGUAAUACGGAGGGUGCAAGCGUUAAUCGGAAUUACUGGGCGUAAAGCGCACGCAGGCGGUUUGUUAAGUCAGAUGUGAAAUCCCCGGGCUCAACCUGGGAACUGCAUUUGAAACUGGCAAGCUAGAGUCUCGUAGAGGGGGGUAGAAUUCCAGGUGUAGCGGUGAAAUGCGUAGAGAUCUGGAGGAAUACCGGUGGCGAAGGCGGCCCCCUGGACGAAGACUGACGCUCAGGUGCGAAAGCGUGGGGCAGCAAACAGGAUUAGAUACCCUGGUAGUCCACGCUGUAAACGAUGUCGAUUUGGAGGUUGUGCCCUUGAGGCGUGGCUUCCGGAGCUAACGCGUUAAAUCGACCGCCUGGGGAGUACGGCCGCAAGGUUAAAACUCAAAUGAAUUGACGGGUC